This 1078-nucleotide long non-coding RNA is filed under the name Strigops habroptila (Kakapo). RNAcentral's name for it is "lncRNA (ENSSHBG00005000658.1)". The record is from RNAcentral. Lineage: Eukaryota; Metazoa; Chordata; Aves; Psittaciformes; Psittacidae.
AAAGGUGUUUUUCCCAGGGAAAUACCUGUCCCUUGCACAUGGGGUGUGCCGGCACCUGCAAUUUCCCCAAAUGCCAGGAACUUGACUUCAUCUGCUGUGAUAAUGGCAGGCUCUGCCAAUGUCCCCCCCUACAAGAAAGGAGAAAGAUCCCAUGCAAUGACUCUUGCCUGACAAGGGAAGUGAGGCUUCUGGCAGACAUGGAGCAAGCAAUUUUCAGAUGCAUUGUGGGAGAAAGUUUGCGAUCUCCUGAAAACAUACAUUGGGACUAUUUAUAUAGCCCACAGUCUGCUCCUUGCCCAUGUCCACAGCAUUUGCAUUCUGUGAGAUACAACUAAGACCAGGAUCCAUCCAUAUAGUACAAUAAAGGCUUUGGAAUAGCAAGUCCUAACAGUCUUGCAUUGCCAUGAAAUUGGGAUGAAAUAUGUGUACUGAGGGGAGUGCCUAUCAAGAUUCUGAGGAACCAAUGUGUUUGCUUCAACAACUUUAAAGAAAGACUUUUUCUGUGACUGUAAACAAUGUCAAAGCACUUUUGCCGGGAAGCAAAACUUCAUCUUCCAGAAUACUUAAAUACACACACACCUUCCAUUACCGUGAGCUCUCCCACUCAACUCAACCAUGUGGUUACUACGGAAUUAACGGGGUCUAUUUGCAAUUGCAAAUUAACAGAUUUAAGCACUUGAGUGUUUGAAGGCUGGGAUUGAACUCAGUUUAACCCAACCAGAGACCUAUUAUAUCAGCUGUUGCAAAGGCCUUGUUUCCUUUGUCAGCACCUGGGCAACAAACCAUAAGCCUUCUCCCCAGAUCACAAAUAUUUCUAGUGAUACCUCUCACAACUCUGCCACGGGUCACAGAACAGCCAGGAGCUGGAGCUGGGCUGACAGAGACUGGCGACAGGGGGCUGGUGGUGUUCUGAGGCGUUACAUGCCUGGAAUGUAUUACAGACACAGGCAAAUAAUUCAUAUUGCCUCCCCAGGAAUCCAACUGUCUGCAAGAACAGUAACCCUGCCUUCACAAACUGGCUAGUCACUAAUCCUGCACAGAAUGGUGUUGUAAAUAAAAAACAGAGCUGGCACACACA